CCAAAACACUCCUCUGAAACCUGAAGGAGAACAUAGGCUUUGAACAAUACAAAGUCCAGGUAUUGAGCAAGAGAAUUCCCCAGAGGCUGACUAGAAGCCAUGGAACACGAUUCAACAAUGGACAACUGGCUUUAAAGAGAUAAAUAACAACUGACUACAUAACCAAGCCUGGUUAAAUACCAAGAUACUCUUGUUUUAGUGCCACUCAAAGAAAUGGCCUCUCGAUUACGACACCAUAAAGGCAGAGGGUCAAACCCCCAGACCUCCUCGAGGACCUGCGGAGAGAACAGAGGCGUCACGGCCGGCCCGCGGCCCCGCCGCCCCGCCCUCCCCGUCGUGGACCCACCUGGAGCAGGACCGUGCCGGGCCCCACCCGCACCGUGACCCGCCGCCCGCUGGGCGCCAGCACCGACACCGCGGCGCCGCCCCCACCCGCCGCCGCCAUCUUCCGCCAGCGCCGGGCCCGCGCGGCCGGGGCGGAGCCGGCCCGGGGCCGUCCUGCUGCGGGCCCGCCCCGCCGCGCCCGGGCCGCGGCCGAGGGAGCGGAGCGGGGGGAACCGGCCCGGCCGGGUGGCUGUGGAAGCGUGUCCCGGGCGAGUCUGGCGGAGCCGGGGCCGGAGCGGAGCUGUCCGCCCGCGACGGGCGGCGGUUCCCGGAGCGCGAGGGGCUCGGGCAGCAGCGGCCCCUGGCAGGGCAGACGCGGGGCGGCUCGGGCCGCUCCCCGGCGAAGGGCGGGGGCGACCCCCGGCCCUGCCCGCUGGGCCGUGGUGGGGGCGGCUCCGGGGCCGGGCCCGCAGCUCCGCGGGGAGCGGGAGGGGAGCGGCCGCGCGUCCCGCCGUGGCUGACGGCGCUGCCUUGCCCCUUGGGUUUCCAAUGUCGGGAUCGUCACCUGCUCCGAGGAAAUAAAACAUUUCCGCGUCGUACCGGGACACCCCCCCGGCAGCGUAAGGGGUGACCCCGGACCGAGCGCAUCGGCCCUGCCAGCACCGCGGGCAGCGCCGGUGGCCAGAACUGCCUUGGGCCGACGGAUUCCUGGCUCUCUCCCGAGCAGGGAUACCGAAGAUCCCUGCGCCUACAAGGAAGGUUCUCUUGGGCCAAAUAACAGCCCUGGCGAACCCCGCAUGUCAGAGGGGAGCGUCCUGCCGCGUUCCCAGCGCCACGGGAGUGUCCAGGCAGUGUAACAAUCAGGGCAUCGCUGGGCAGACCAACCACGGCAUCCUGCUGCCCUUGAAAGCCAUUUCUUCUCGCCAAAAAAAAGGAUAAAGAAGUUGGUUGGAAACCUCAUGGCCAGUGCUGCUGCAAAGUCAGCUGGUUAGGUGAGAUGGCUACAGCCAAGGAACAGAAAUAAUCAUACAUAUUACAAUACAGAAUUUCCCAGAGACUUUAUUUCAUUUAUGGACUUCUCCUUCAGUCUCAGCAAGGCCUUCUUCAGUCAAAGGCACUCUCAGAUUCAAUGACAGUCUGUUGUGUUUGCUAUCAUAAAAAAACCCCAACUUUUUAGUUUGAGUAACCACUGGAAUUUAUUUAGCCUAAGUUGUAACCACAUGCCAAAUACUUUCUCUGCUUCUAUAUUUAUCAUAUAUGUUAAGCUUAAGUCCUCACUGCUACCCCCAGCACCCACAAAAAUGUCUGCUUUGCUUGGCUUAUAAAGGAAAAAGAUCCUUUUAAGGAAAGACGCUUUUGUAAGAGAUAACACUUGUUUUUACCAUAUCAGCAGUGUGGGAGAAAGGGGAAGAAGAGUGGAUGGGAAUUUUAAUGAUGAAGAGACAUCUCUUUUCUUAUAUACGUGGAUUCACUGUAACUGUUCAGUGAGAUGUAGCAAUAAUAAUAAAGGAUGCCCAGGUCUAUAAUGUUUAAAACAA
This is a long non-coding RNA of Pseudopipra pipra, 1862 nucleotides long. RefSeq lists it as uncharacterized. The record is from RefSeq and is a predicted model, not a curated record. Lineage: Eukaryota; Metazoa; Chordata; Aves; Passeriformes; Pipridae. The transcript has 3 exons.